RNAcentral lists this long non-coding RNA (405 nucleotides) under Coffea arabica (coffee). Its description in RNAcentral is "long non-coding RNA (CARA_LNC007477)". The record is from RNAcentral. Lineage: Eukaryota; Viridiplantae; Streptophyta; Magnoliopsida; Gentianales; Rubiaceae.
UUAUAUUUACCCAAGGUAUAAUGUUUUUAUGUUGGUUACUGUAAAUUUUUUUAUGUGUUGUUUCUAUAGUUGCCUGAUCUAGGGAAUUAUUGUCUUUGCUUUUUCUUUAUGCUGAGCUGUUUAUAAAUUUGUAAUGUAAGGGCUUGCAUGACUCUUACGAUCACGGAUGAGACUGGAUCUUUGAAUGCAAUAGCCAUGGGAGACGAGGCUGAAAAGUUGAUUGGUAUUAGUGUUCAUCGUUUAUUUCAAGCGGAGCAAGAGGUGCUUCUUUUUUCUUGGAUUAGACAUAAUAGUGAAAUAUUAUCUUGUGUGACCAAUUAUUUAUUAUGCCAAUGAGUUGUUGUUUUCAAUUGGUUGACAGAAUGUGCAUAUCACUGAUCGUGUUGCAAGUGAACUCGAGGGAAA